Molecule: ribosomal RNA, 412 nt
Filed under: uncultured Polaribacter sp.
Lineage: Bacteria; Pseudomonadati; Bacteroidota; Flavobacteriia; Flavobacteriales; Flavobacteriaceae
Description: bacterial SSU rRNA
Rfam family: Bacterial small subunit ribosomal RNA
Source: RNAcentral
AGAUGACGACCGGCGCACGGGUGCGUAACGCGUAUAGAACCUACCUUUUACAGAGGAAUAGCCUUUAGAAAUGAAGAUUAAUGCCUCAUAGUAUUGUAGACUGGCAUCAGUUUAUAAUUAAAGAUUUAUCGGUAAAAGAUGGCUAUGCGUCCUAUUAGUUAGUUGGUAAGGUAACGGCUUACCAAGACAGCGAUAGGUAGGGGUCCUGAGAGGGAGAUCCCCCACACUGGUACUGAGACACGGACCAGACUCCUACGGGAGGCAGCAGUGAGGAAUAUUGGACAAUGGAGGAGACUCUGAUCCAGCCAUGCCGCGUGUAGGAAGAAUGCCCUAUGGGUUGUAAACUACUUUUAUACAGGAAGAAACACUGGUAUGUAUACCAGCUUGACGGUACUGUAAGAAUAAGGACCGG